CCUACGGGAGGCAGCAGUGGGGAAUAUUGCGCAAUGGGCGAAAGCCUGACGCAGCGACGCCGCGUGGAGGAUGAAGGUCUUAGGAUUGUAAACUUCUGUUAAGUGGGAAAAAAGGCUCAUUCCUAAUACGAAUGAGAGAUGAUGGUACCGCUAGAGAAAGCACCGGCUAAUCUCGUGCCAGCAGCCGCGGUAAUACGAGAGGUGCAAGCGUUAUUCGGAUUAAUUGGGUGUAAAGGGCGCGUAGACGGCGUGUUAAGUUUAUUGUUAAAGGCCCCGGCUUAACUGGGGAUCCGCAGUGAAUACUGGCAUGCUAGAGGAUGGAAGAGAGAAGUGGAAUUCUUGGAGUAGCGGUAAAAUGCGUAGAUCUCAAGAGGAACCCCGAUGGCGAAGGCAGCUUCUUGGUCCAUUCCUGACGUUGAGGCGCGAAAGCGUUGGGGAGCAAACAGGAUUAGAUACCCUGGUAGUCCACGCUGUAAACGAUAAUCACUAGACGUUGGUUCUGUUUAACCGGAAUACAGUGUGAGACUACGACGUAGUAGAUCACUGAGUACGUCGCGAGAUAAACUUAAUAGAGUAGAGNGNGAGAGNGCGAGACGACGACGAGGAGGAGG
Molecule: ribosomal RNA, 611 nt
Filed under: uncultured bacterium
Lineage: Bacteria
Description: bacterial SSU rRNA
Rfam family: Bacterial small subunit ribosomal RNA
Source: RNAcentral